Molecule: ribosomal RNA, 305 nt
Filed under: uncultured bacterium
Lineage: Bacteria
Description: bacterial SSU rRNA
Rfam family: Bacterial small subunit ribosomal RNA
Source: RNAcentral
CCUACGGGGCGCAGCAGUCGGGAAUAUUGCGCAAUGGAGGAAACUCUGACGCAGUGACGCCGCGUAUAGGAAGAAGGUUUUCGGAUUGUAAACUAUUGUCGUGAGGGAAGAAAUUGACAGUACCUCAGGAGGAAGCUCCGGCUAACUAUGUGCCAGCAGCCGCGGUAAUACAUAGGGAGCAAGCGUUAUCCGGAUUUAUUGGGUGUAAAGGGUGCGUAGACGGGAAAUUAAGUUAGUUGUGAAAUCCCUCGGCUUAACUGAGGAACUGCAUUUGAAACUGUCAGUCUUGAGUACCGGAGAGGUCA